UCGUCGCCCGUUUGCCGCCCGCAGUAGGGGCCAUUUGGCCCCCAAGGGCACGUGUCGUUGGCUAAGCCGUCGUGGCGGAAGGGUCACGGUGGCCGCCUUGAAUUACAAUUCCGAUCGAGCGGCGAGCUGAAUCCUUUGCAGACGACUUAAAUACGCGACGGGGUAUUGUAAGGGGUAGAGUGGCCUUGCUGGCCACGAUCCUCUGAGAUUCAGCCCUUUGUCGCUCCGAUUCGU
Molecule: non-coding RNA, 234 nt
Filed under: Ipomoea nil (Japanese morning glory)
Lineage: Eukaryota; Viridiplantae; Streptophyta; Magnoliopsida; Solanales; Convolvulaceae
Description: Eukaryotic large subunit ribosomal RNA
Rfam family: Eukaryotic large subunit ribosomal RNA
Source: Rfam by way of RNAcentral